This is a small nucleolar RNA of Ipomoea triloba (trilobed morning glory), 101 nucleotides long. RefSeq annotates it as small nucleolar RNA Z266. The record is from RefSeq and is a predicted model, not a curated record. The transcript has a single exon. NCBI's taxonomy places the organism in Eukaryota, Viridiplantae, Streptophyta, Magnoliopsida, Solanales, Convolvulaceae.
CUUAGGCAAGAAUGAUGAGGCAAUUAGAUGCGUGAGGGGAGAAUUCCUCAAUGAGCAUAACUUACGAGGCUUAUUCAUUCAUACAUUCUGACUUGCCUAUG